GACGAACGCUGGCGGCGUGCCUAACACAUGCAAGUCGAGCGGAGUCAGUAAGAGGAAGUUUUCGGAUGGAAUCUUAUUGAUUUAGCGGCGGACGGGUGAGUAACGCGUGAGCGACCAACCUUGCACAGGGGGAUAACGGACCGAAAGGUUCACUAAUACCGCAUGAGACCACGGUGUUGCAUGACACAGAGGUCAAAGGAGCAAUCCGGUGCAAGACGGGCUCGCGUCCGAUUAGGUAGUUGGAGGGGUAACGGCCCACCAAGCCUAUGAUCGGUAGCCGACCGGAGAGGGUGAUCGGCCACGUUGGAACUGAGAUACGGUCCAAACUCCUACGGGAGGCAGCAGUGGGGAAUAUUGGGCAAUGGGGGAAACCCUGACCCAGCAACGCCGCGUGAAGGAAGAAGGUUUUCGGAUAGUAAACUUCUGUCCUUGGUGAAGAGAAGAAGACGGUAGCCAAGGAGGAAGCCCCGGCUAACUACGUGCCAGCCGCCGCAGUAA
This 498-nucleotide ribosomal RNA is filed under the name uncultured bacterium. RNAcentral describes it as "partial 16S ribosomal RNA". It matches the Rfam family "Bacterial small subunit ribosomal RNA", at positions 28 to 523 of the family's 1533-position model. The record is from RNAcentral.